This 32-nucleotide non-coding RNA is filed under the name Mus musculus (house mouse). Lineage: Eukaryota; Metazoa; Chordata; Mammalia; Rodentia; Muridae. The record is from RNAcentral.
UNCCAGGUAAACACAGGAUGCAGACGGUGUUA